AUUCAGUUGGGCACUCUAAGGAGACUGCCGGUGUUAAACCGGAGGAAGGUGGGGAUGACGUCAAGUCCUCAUGGCCCUUAUAUCCAGGGCUACACACGUGCUACAAUGGCCGGUACAAAGGGUCGCAAUACCGCGAGGUGGAGCUAAUCCCAAAAAGCCGGUCUCAGUUCGGAUUGGAGUCUGCAACUCGACUCCAUGAAGUCGGAAUCGCUAGUAAUCGCGUAUCAGCGUGACGCGGUGAAUACGUUCCCGGGCCUU
This 258-nucleotide ribosomal RNA is filed under the name uncultured Geothermobacter sp. RNAcentral's name for it is "partial 16S ribosomal RNA". It matches the Rfam family "Bacterial small subunit ribosomal RNA", at positions 1125 to 1382 of the family's 1533-position model. Lineage: Bacteria; Pseudomonadati; Thermodesulfobacteriota; Desulfuromonadia; Desulfuromonadales; Geothermobacteraceae. The record is from RNAcentral.